This 496-nucleotide ribosomal RNA is filed under the name uncultured bacterium. RNAcentral's name for it is "partial 16S ribosomal RNA". It matches the Rfam family "Bacterial small subunit ribosomal RNA", at positions 28 to 506 of the family's 1533-position model. The record is from RNAcentral.
GAUGAACGCUGGCGGCGUGCCUAAUACAUGCAAGUCGAGCGAACAGACGAGGAGCUUGCUCCUCUGACGUUAGCGGCGGACGGGCGAGUAACACGUGGAUAACCUACCUAUAAGACUGGGAUAACUUCGGGAAACCGGAGCUAAUACCGGAUAAUAUAUUGAACCGCAUGGUUCAAUAGUGAAAGACGGUUUUGCUGUCACUUAUAGAUGGAUCCGCGCCGCAUUAGCUAGUUGGUAAGGUAACGGCUUACCAAGGCAACGAUGCGUAGCCGACCUGAGAGGGUGAGCGGCCCCACGGGAACUGGGCCCCGUCCCAGACCCCUAGGGGGGGAAGCAGUGGGAAAUUUUCACAAAGGGGGGAAAGCCUGCCGGGCCAACGCCGGGGGGGUGAUGAAGGUUUUCGGAUCGUAAAACCCUUUUUUUGGGGAAAAAAAAAUGGGGAAGUAACUAUGCCGGUCUUGACGGUACCAAAUAAGAAAGCCACGGUAAACUCCGU